AUUUUAAUGAUCACGAAUAUUGUAUUAUAUAUUUUAAAAGUGGAUAAUUUAUUUAAAACUCAUUUCCUACAUUCAGUAUUUUGUAUUCGUUGAAUAUUUAUACAUAUCGGAGAAUUUUUGAAGGUACUCUUUGAAUGAAAUUCGUAUAUACGUCUAGAAAAAAUAUAUAUAUAUAUAUUUUAUACUUUGUGGGAAGAUAGAAACGAAUUGGCUAAAAAACGUCGAAGUUCAUUCGACGUUCGAUUUCAAGAAAACGACUUUCCCUCGAGUGUAUUCCUUGGCAUCUUUUUACGAGGACAAGAGGGUGUAAAGCGUAAAGAAACAAAGUUUCAAAGGAGUAUCUACUUCGAAUUCUCACGCAGCAUCCCAAAGAACAAACCGCAAGGCGCAAACCGAAAGUGCAUGCGCGUGUUCACUCGCGCAAGGAGAGAUACGACCAACUCGAAGUGAAUUUGCUUGUAAUAAUGUAUAUACCUGGUACUAGAAACCUAGGUACCUUCUUAAACUAUGUAAAGGCGCACGUAGAGUAGCUGAAGGUACACUCGUAUUCCUAAGUCUAUAAAUCGCAAAGGAUUUUCGGAAGUCUGAGGAGAAGCGUAUAGAUCUACUUUGUAGUUUCUACUUUUGGAGUAAUCCACGACGAUGGAGAGAGUGCCAAUUUGCAUCAGGUAAGACCAAGUUCGAAUCUUCGACCAGUUUAAGAAGAUACAAUCUGCAAUUCGAAUGCGGAAUCAUAGGGGAAUUCACAAUUUUCUUCUCUGUUAUCUCGGAAGAAGCUUUUUCCUGAUAUGGAAAAUUCCAAAGCACGUGUCUGGAUUCUCGGAUGCUGUGACCGAGCAUCUCCGUUUCGGUUUGCUUUUUCAUAUCCGAUCGCAUGCCAUCCCACGAUUACCACCGAUAUAUUCCGGAUAUCUAAUAUCGAAAGUUCCGCUCUAUCGGUUUUCGAUAAUUUUAAUUAUAUGUAUUUUAUUUAAUUACAAAUAUAAAAUUAAUGAAUUUUCAUUAACGUUUAUGCAUAUGAUCUUUGCACUGUUAAUUAAACAAAUAUACCGUGCCAUAACGUUAUAUCGAUAUAUUUAUAUUGAAUAAUGUAUAAAUUUCGUUCUCUUCAUUUUCAUUCAAGUUAAUUAAGUAAUCGUACAGUUUAAUAGCAUAUAUUAUAGAUACGAUAUUUUCUGAUGCAUAAAUUAAUUUUUAAAAUUUAUCAAAUCAAAAUUAAGUGAUGAUAGGAUGCAAUGACACAUACGUUGUAUACUUUCAUCGACGUUCGAUAAUUUAUACAAGCAUGCGAAUUCAAUUUAUUUCAAUUUCGAUCGCCGAAGAUUUCCCAAGAGCGGCCAUAAAUAAUUCAGAUCAUUAAGACGAAUCUUAAAAUUUUAUAUUUUCUUUGCCAUUAAUAAAGAUUAAUACGAUGAUCUAGAAGGAACGGACGUUAUAAAGUAAAGUAAUCUGACCUUUGAUAAAAUCAGAUGUGUUAGAAUGCGGCAGUACGGUCUAUAAACCAGUUUGGUGAACGCGCAUGCACGUGACAGAGCGAUGUCACGCUUCGUGCAUAAUCUACAUAGAUGAAAGUCGAUGAAAGACACGGGAUUAACAAUUAAUAUCUUUAUCUCAUUAAAGAUCAAAAUUGAAUUUUUAUCGAAGUUCGACUAUAGGAAGUGUCUUGUACAGUCACUAUCGCUCUCUACUGCUAUUGAUGAAAAUAAAAUUUCUCGAUCUUUUUUCUGAAUUUAGUUUAACAAAAUUUGAUAGACAAUUUAUGUAUCAGAGCGAAAAGUGUUGUUUCAAACGAUCGAUGUUCCGAAUAUAAAAUGUUGCAUUGGUUCUAGAAAAAAGAUUAUUUUAUAAGCAUUCCCGAUAAUCCGUAAGUUCCGUAUAUAUAUUCUAAACUACGAUUACGCUCGUAAUCGUGCUACAAGCCGCGAAACAUGGCAGUGGUAACAAAGGAGAUUAGAAAGUGGAAGGGGAAUGAAUUUCGUCGAGGCAUGCGUCGUCUUCGAAACGCCGAUAUCGUGUAGCUCGGCUUUGAAUCCAGCUAUUAAACUCGAAAUCGCUCCUAGCAGAGCGCAUCGGUAUACAUCUAACGAACCACAGAGCUUAAGUUGUCCAUGGAACAACGCGAGAGCAUCUGCGGCGAGAGGGAGAUAAGACGCAAGAUGUAACGUAGAGGAUGGAAUAGGUUUGAGGGUGAGAGAGUUGCCGCGCGUACCGUCCUAUCUAUGAUAGUCGAGAGAAGACUAUGUUGGACGCCUUUGUCGUGUAACAUUCGCUCAAACCUCAACUCUAUCCUCUAACCUCCUUCUCUCGCUGGCGGGAAUCCUUUGCAGUAGAUGGAACGUUGUAACCAAGCCGGUUACAUGUAGUCUCUCUAACGUUCUGGAUUGUUACUGUGAACUGACGAAACACGAAUUCUAUGCACUCACGACUGACGAGAAUUCAAACGACAUUUUUUUUGUCUACUGUAUCCAGGUUAAACUAGUUACCGUACUAUCUUCUAGUUAGAUUUCGAGUAACUCGAUGAUCUGUGAAUCGUUAGAUUUCUUUAAACGGAGUAAGUCGCAUUUGUUUUGGAAUCAUUGGAAAUAAUUAAAUUACCAAAUGUAAAUUACUAAACUAUCAAAACGUUCGCGAGACACGGAGUUGGGUUCAUUGCAAAUUAUAAUUAUAAAUUAACGGUUUGACGAUAAAUUGGGAGGUAGCGCGCAUGCUAUACAACGGUAUUAGAGAGGCAAGGUCCGAGAGUAAGCGCGUUAGAUAUGCUCGUUUUCUACGUGAUGAAUAGCUAGCAAUUUCGUUAGCCGUAUUCUAGAGCUGCUCGGAACGGAACGACCACCUGUGACUACUAGCAGCUCGCUACUGAGACCAACUAUAGCGAACGUAUGAAUUCUCUUGACUUACCGGUUAUCUCAAAGCGAAUCCUUUCAUCCAUCACACUCGACACCACGUUCGGUUACGAAAGGAGCCACGUGAAUCGAUCGUGACUGAAGAGGGACGUCGAUGUCCGCUUUUAUAUUGGCUAUGCUAACAUCGAACCAAAAUCUUCGAUAUAUUCGUCGCUUUUCAAUGUACGAAAUUAUAUCUAUAACAAAUAUUGUACGAUACGGAGAAUAAAAUGUCAUCAUUUAUAUUGAAAUCGUUGUUCGAAAUGACCAACUAGAUUAUUCUUCUUCAAAUAUUUAUCAAUUAUAGUUCGUAAAUAAAUCCACCUGUAUUCUGAUGAAAAUCGUUAUUAAACCAAUACGCAGAAUCAUGUUCCAACCAUUCCAAUUCCAAUUUACAUGGUAACGAAUACUUCCGAAUCAACAACAAUUCGUUUCGAACGAAGCAAUGAUCGAAUCUUCUUAAAAAAUCAUACGUCCACUCGUCCGAUCUGAAAUCAAUUUUGAAAUUUUCACUGAAUUCAUGAUAGUACCAAUAAAUGACAACCAAAGUUGAAGCCAAACUAUUUACUAAUUCUCGUUGAAAAGUUUCUCGUGUAGCAGUUACGUGGCAAAUAUUCUGAAGGGUAAGGAGAGACGGUUAAUUGCUCGUUAUAGAUGUUUCAACGGAGUUCCCGUGGUUGGUGCAGCACGUAAAGAGGAGAGAGAGAGAGAGAGAGAGAGAGAGAGAGAGAGAGAGAGAGAGAGAGAGAGGGAGAGAGAGGGAGGGAGGAAGAACAUUGAGUACUGCUUGCUGCUUCGCUCAAAGUCGCACGAAGCGUUACAAUCAAGUUAAACGUCGCACGCGUCACGUUCGCAAGCUAACGCAAACUCAUCGGAGAAUACAACGCGCGAGAUAGAGAUAAAGAGAGAGAGAGAGAGAGAAGAAAAUAGAGAUACAUAGAUAGAGAUAUACAGAAUACACCUGUAUUAGAUCGAAAGCGAUGUCCCGAUGUCUUUUCUUAAUGACGUUACAUUGGCAGUAACCGUCAAGGAGUACGCAAGUUUAACGAUAUUACGGUUGCGUUCCCGUUUUCAAAGUUACUCGUACCUAUUUCCUAUCUCGACUUCGACCUCUCAUCCUCAUGUUGUUGGAUAGUCUAGUUAUCGUUGUCGCUUAUAUAAUGCAUGUUGGUAACUGUGUUGUGGUAGUAACUUGGCGGCCCUUCUGUAUCAUCCAUCGGGAAUAGAAAGUGGUACUUUAUCUAUCUCUAUCUCUAUAUCUGUUUCUACCUCUCUCUCUCUCUCUCUCUCUCUCUCUCUUUCUCUUUCCAUUGUACGCGUUGAACAAGUUCAAGUAACCCACGAAGAGAUGUGGUACCUAGUUCUCUAUCGUAUUUGCAAACUAUCCUUCGUGUUCGGGUAGAUUAAUCUUUGUUCCUUCCACGUUAAGACGAGAUGAAGCUCAGUUCAGGGAGUACACACAUUCGCAGAUCGGUAUCGAGUAUCUGAGUUUCACGAGAAAUCGAGCGGAGUAUGGACCAUCAAGACAAUCACUAAAUUUCCUUUCGAGGGUUGAACUGGUCGUGUUCACUUUGCAUGCUAAAUGAUAGCUUCUUCAUUCGAUCAGAUCUCAAUUGUGAGUUUUAGAGUAAGAUCUUCGAUUUCAUGAUGUAAAAUGAUUAGAUAUUUUACAUUUGGCGAUCUAAUUUGAAUUAAUUUUAUUUUUUCCCUUAUAAUCGUAGGUAGAUUCUCUUAAAGAUUUCUACGUUUCAUUCGUGGAAAGUGGAAGCUUAUUAAGCGAUUUCACUCUGAAAUCUCGAGACGUACUUUCUCAGAUUUAAUUAAAUCCAUAUCUUGAUCCAUUACUCGAUGUGUCUUCUCGUAACAGGACGAAGCUUAAUCAAGGCUUAAUAGAUAUUUGAUAAGAUUGCUUUGAUUAUCGUCUCAGGUUACACAAUCUAACAUCAAUUUCACCUAAUAAUACUAUAUAUACUUCGAUCUAAUUUAGAUCGAUAUUAAUGAUUAAUUUUCGAAAGGGUAUAGAAAUCGGGUAAAUCAAAAAACGUUUUUAUCCGUCUGCACAAAUGCAUAAACGCAUACAUGAAUUAAACAUGAAUACAAGUAUCUAAUACUCGGAUUAAAAAGAUUAUUUUUAUUUUUGAAACAAAAAGAAAUCGAAAAUUAUAGUAAAAAAAAAUAA
This is a long non-coding RNA of Vespula pensylvanica (western yellowjacket), 5061 nucleotides long. RefSeq lists it as uncharacterized. NCBI's taxonomy places the organism in Eukaryota, Metazoa, Arthropoda, Insecta, Hymenoptera, Vespidae. The record is from RefSeq and is a predicted model, not a curated record. The transcript is spliced from 4 exons.